RNAcentral lists this ribosomal RNA (878 nucleotides) under uncultured fungus. Its description in RNAcentral is "eukaryotic LSU rRNA". The stretch from base 549 to 878 matches the Rfam family "Eukaryotic large subunit ribosomal RNA", at positions 1 to 325 of the family's 3401-position model. Lineage: Eukaryota; Fungi. The record is from RNAcentral.
GGAAGGAUCAUUAUCAGUCUCUGGCUGUGCAUGCUGCAUGUGCAAUCCAAAACAAACCACUCUGUGUACUUUUCCUGUUGCUUCCAUGGGGCAUGGUGUCUUUGCAUCACUCCGCGGUUGGUCUUUAUUGGCCGCUGUUUGGAGAGUCUCCAUGAAAGGUUAUUGACCAAAUCACUUGCUGUCUUGUAUUUUCAGUCUGAAUAUGAUAAAAUUAAUAUAGUUAAAACUUUCAACAACGGAUCUCUUGGUUCUUGCAUCGAUGAAGAACGCAGCGAAAUGCGAUAAGUAGUGUGAAUUGCAGAAUUCAGUGAAUCAUCGAAUCUUUGAACGCACAUUGCGCCCUUCGGUAUUCCGGGGGGCAUGCCUGUUCGAGCGUCAUCAAAAACAUCUCAAGACAUGUUCUUGGUCAUGGAGAGUGGUUGACUUUAUGUCACCCACUUCCUAAAUUGAUUGGCAGAUUGCAAAAUUUUCACCGAGUGUAAUAAUAAUAACCAUUCAUGACGUGACUUUUGCAUAUUGAGCUAUAAACCCUCAUUUAUUAUUCAGGUUGACCUCGGAUCAGGUAGGGAUACCCGCUGAACUUAAGCAUAUCAAUAAGCGGAGGAAAAGAAACCAACAGGGAUUGCCUUAGUAACUGCGAGUGAAGCGGCAAAAGCUCAAAUUUGAAAUCCGAUACCUUUGGGUGUUUGAGUUGUAAUUUGGAGGGGCAUCUUCGGGGGCUAGUGUCAUUCUAAGUUCUUUGGAACAGGACGUCAUAGAGGGUGAGAAUCCCGUGUCUGGAUGACUGUCUGGCCCUAUGUGAAGUGUCUCCGACGAGUCGAGUUGUUUGGGAAUGCAGCUCAAAAUGGGUGGUAAAUUUCAUCUAAAGCUAAAUAUUG